This 439-nucleotide ribosomal RNA is filed under the name uncultured bacterium. Its description in RNAcentral is "partial 16S ribosomal RNA". It matches the Rfam family "Bacterial small subunit ribosomal RNA", at positions 339 to 795 of the family's 1533-position model. The record is from RNAcentral.
CUACGGGUUGCUGCAGUGAGGAAUAUUGCACAAUGGGGGGAACCCUGAUGCAGCAACGCCGCGUGGAGGAUGACGCAUUUCGGUGUGUAAACUCCUUUUAUAUGUCAAGAAAAUGACGGUAGCAUAUGAAUAAGCACCGGCUAACUCCGUGCCAGCAGCCGCGGUAAUACGGAGGGUGCAAGCGUUCCUCGGAAUCACUGGGCGUAAAGGACGCGUAGGCGGGUUGGAAAGUCAGGUGUGAAAUCCUACAGCUUAACUGUAGAACUGCACUUGAAACUUCUAAUCUAGAGUAUGGGAGGGGGAGAUGGAAUUAGUGGUGUAGGGGUAAUAUCCGUAGAUAUCACUAGGAAUACCUAAAGCGAAGGCGAUCUCCUGGAACAUUACUGACGCUAAGGCGUGAAAGCGUGGGGAGCAAACAGGAUUAGAUACCCGCGUAGUC